This 637-nucleotide ribosomal RNA is filed under the name uncultured cyanobacterium. RNAcentral's name for it is "bacterial SSU rRNA". It matches the Rfam family "Bacterial small subunit ribosomal RNA", at positions 118 to 789 of the family's 1533-position model. Lineage: Bacteria; Bacillati; Cyanobacteriota. The record is from RNAcentral.
UGAGAAUCUGGCUUCAGGUUCGGGACAACAGUUGGAAACGGCUGCUAAUACCGGAUGUGCCCUUGGGUGAAAGAUUUAUCACCUGAAGAUGAGCUCGCGUCUGAUUAGCUAGUAGGUGUGGUAAGAGCGCACCUAGGCGACGAUCAGUAGCUGGUCUGAGAGGAUGAUCAGCCACACUGGGACUGAGACACGGCCCAGACUCCUACGGGAGGCAGCAGUGGGGAAUUUUCCGCAAUGGGCGAAAGCCUGACGGAGCAAUACCGCGUGAGGGAGGAAGGCUCUUGGGUUGUAAACCUCUUUUCUCAGGGAAGAAUAAAUGACGGUACCUGAGGAAUAAGCAUCGGCUAACUCCGUGCCAGCAGCCGCGGUAAUACGGAGGAUGCAAGCGUUAUCCGGAAUGAUUGGGCGUAAAGCGUCCGCAGGUGGCAAUGUAAGUCUGCUGUCAAAGCGUCUGGCUCAACCAGAUAAAGGCAGUGGAAACUACAUAGCUAGAGUAAGGUAGGGGUAGAGGGAAUUCCUGGUGUAGCGGUGAAAUGCGUAGAGAUCAGGAAGAACACCGGUGGCGAAAGCGCUUUGCUGGACCUUAACUGACACUGAGGGACGAAAGCUAGGGGAGCGAAUGGGAUUAGAUACCCCA